AGAGGCAGCUUGAUGGACGAAGCGGCAGCUUCUGGUGCUACCGGCCUCACCAUCUCUCUCCUAAGCGCCCUCACUUCACUCCCCAGAUUGUCGUGCUGUUUUCCUUGGGGGGGGUGGUGCCUCGUCAUCAGUGUCCACACCUUGAAGCAUAUUUAACUCUAAAGGUCUGCACCUUCAAAAAAGUGUUGCGGCGGGCCCCUAGUGGUCUGGACUCUUCCAGCUGGCUCCUGCAGGGUCUUCAGCCUCUGACUGUAUGUCUGAUGUUAAACACAGUAAGGACUUUUUCAGCUAACCAAGACCCUCACGUCACCGUGCACGUCCCACGCUGCACCUGGAGGAAGGUGGUGCGCGACUGCCUUCUGGAGGCGGUUAUGAUCGUAAGAACUAGGAGGCCAGAAACAAUUCCAUGACUCCCCUGCCUCCUCCAACCAGCUGCUUGGCACUAUGGUAGUGCUCCUAUCUUUGAAUUCGACGACCUUCCACACCUGUGCCAUCUGUCAAUGAGAAGACAAGGAAUUAGGAUUGGUGAAGAAGAGGGAUGGCAACAUAAUGGUCUUGGUCUG
This is a long non-coding RNA of Gadus macrocephalus (Pacific cod), 563 nucleotides long. RefSeq lists it as uncharacterized. The transcript is spliced from 6 exons. The record is from RefSeq and is a predicted model, not a curated record. NCBI's taxonomy places the organism in Eukaryota, Metazoa, Chordata, Actinopteri, Gadiformes, Gadidae.